This 590-nucleotide unclassified non-coding RNA is filed under the name Hevea brasiliensis (rubber tree). The record is from RNAcentral. Lineage: Eukaryota; Viridiplantae; Streptophyta; Magnoliopsida; Malpighiales; Euphorbiaceae.
AAUUUUGCAAUUUUAAAAGCUCAAGCUAUCAAGGAUCUUGAUAAUAAAUCUAGUUUUAUGCUCCUUUCCUCUUCACAAACAUGUGAAAGCAAGAUGACUAUAAGACAAUUCAGUACGAGUGUUUGUGUCUGCGGCAGGAACAGACAAUUCCUUCUCUAUUGGCUAAAUUCAGGAUUGCCUUUCCGUUAUGGGUUUUAGCUCGCCCAACAAAUUCAAUGAUUAAAAGAAAUCGAGAAUAAAGUAGAAGAAAGAUCAUCCAUGCAUAUAGGCUUGCUGCUUGCUUGAGCCAUGCCGUUUUUGAUGUGCAUUAAGGAAGCAUAUUUCUGGUUCUGUUAUUUCUUUUCAUUCCCUAACUGUUGAUGGCAAGUGAUGGUCUGCUCCACAACAAGUCUGCGUGCUGUUUUCUUUUCUUCUUUGGAAACACUUCUAUAUUCAUAUGAAAUCCAAACUGAAAUUAUCAGAUGCAUACUUUUGCUUCAUGUUCAAAUGAAUCUCAAAGAUAGGAAUUUCAUUAGAUAAUAAAGGAUUACAAGACCCACAGGCCCCAAGUGCAGAGGAAUAAUCCUAUCACCAAAAAGUGGUGAGUGGCA